UACGUAGGGCGCAAGCGUUGUCCGGAAUUAUUGGGCGUAAAGGGCUCGUAGGCGGUCUGUCGCGUCGAAAGUGAAAACCCAGGGCUUAACCCUGGGCCUGCUUCCGAUACGGGCAGACUAGAGGUAUGCAGGGGAGAACGGAAUUCCUGGUGUAGCGGUGAAAUGCGCAGAUAUCAGGAGGAACACCGGUGGCGAAGGCGGCUACCUGGCCUAAUACUGACACUGAGGCACGAAAGCGUGGGGAGCAAACAGG
RNAcentral lists this ribosomal RNA (253 nucleotides) under uncultured bacterium. RNAcentral's name for it is "partial 16S ribosomal RNA". It matches the Rfam family "Bacterial small subunit ribosomal RNA", at positions 524 to 776 of the family's 1533-position model. The record is from RNAcentral.